Molecule: transfer RNA, 73 nt
Filed under: Stegodyphus mimosarum
Lineage: Eukaryota; Metazoa; Arthropoda; Arachnida; Araneae; Eresidae
Rfam family: tRNA
About the family: Transfer RNA (tRNA) molecules are approximately 80 nucleotides in length. Their secondary structure includes four short double-helical elements and three loops (D, anti-codon, and T loops). Further hydrogen bonds mediate the characteristic L-shaped molecular structure. tRNAs have two regions of fundamental functional importance: the anti-codon, which is responsible for specific mRNA codon recognition, and the 3' end, to which the tRNAs corresponding amino acid is attached (by aminoacyl-tRNA synthetases). tRNAs cope with the degeneracy of the genetic code in two manners: having more than one tRNA (with a specific anti-codon) for a particular amino acid; and 'wobble' base-pairing, i.e. permitting non-standard base-pairing at the 3rd anti-codon position.
Source: Rfam by way of RNAcentral
GCCCUCAUGGUGUAGUGGUCAGCACACUCGAUGCUUAUUCGAGAGGUCCAUGGUUCGAAUCCCGACGAGGGCA